CGGAAGGAUAAUUAUUGAAAAUAAACCUGAUGAGUUGCUGCUGGUUCUCUAGGGAGCAUUGUGCACACUCGUCGUUUUUAUAUCUCCACCUGUGCACCUUUUGUAGACCUGAAUAAUCCUUCUGACUGCGCAAGUCAGGUUUUGAGGAAUUGACUUUUCAGUCUUUCCUUGCAAUUUCAGGCCUAUGUUUCUUCAUAUACUCCUUAAUGUAUGUUAUAGAAUGUAACAGGCCCUGUGCCUAUAAUCUAUACAACUUUCAGCAACGGAUCUCUUGGCUCUCGCAUCGAUGAAGAACGCAGCGAAAUGCGAUAAGUAAUGUGAAUUGCAGAAUUCAGUGAAUCAUCGAAUCUUUGAACGCACCUUGCGCUCCUUGGUAUUCCGAGGAGCAUGCCUGUUUGAGUGUCAUUAAUAUAUCAACCUCUUCAGCUUUUGCUUGUCGAGAUGGUUGGAUGUGGGGGGUGUUUUGCUGGCCUUUUUUGAGGUCAGCUCCCCUGAAAUGCAUUAGCGGAACAAUUUGUCGACUCCGUUCAUUGGUGUGAUAACUAUCUACGCUAUUGAUGGGUGAAGGCAGAGUUCAGCUCCUAACAGUCCAUUGACUUGGACAACUUUUUUAUUUAAUGUGACCUCAAAUCAGGUAGGACUACCCGCUGAACUUAA
This 657-nucleotide ribosomal RNA is filed under the name Cortinarius venetus. Its description in RNAcentral is "eukaryotic LSU rRNA". The stretch from base 252 to 405 matches the Rfam family "5.8S ribosomal RNA". The record is from RNAcentral. Lineage: Eukaryota; Fungi; Basidiomycota; Agaricomycetes; Agaricales; Cortinariaceae.